GGUCAUGAGUGUCAGCGUGUGGCCCUGGCUUGCUGACCGGCAACCCUCGAUACAGCGGUGGGGUGCUCCAGGUGACGACCCGACAGGACAGGGCUGUCCUGUAAGCGCGAGGC
RNAcentral lists this non-coding RNA (113 nucleotides) under Streptacidiphilus jiangxiensis. Its description in RNAcentral is "SAM-IV sequence". It matches the Rfam family "SAM (S-adenosyl methionine) riboswitch aptamer". From Rfam's summary of the family: SAM-IV is a mRNA element that regulates gene expression via direct sensing of S-adenosylmethionine (SAM or AdoMet). SAM-IV riboswitches share conserved nucleotide positions with the previously described SAM-I riboswitches sequence analysis and molecular recognition experiments suggest that SAM-I and SAM-IV riboswitches share similar ligand binding sites, but have different scaffolds. Lineage: Bacteria; Bacillati; Actinomycetota; Actinomycetes; Kitasatosporales; Streptomycetaceae. The record is from Rfam by way of RNAcentral.